AAUGGUGAGAUUUUUAAAUUCUGAUUCUGA
Molecule: non-coding RNA, 30 nt
Filed under: Cricetulus griseus (Chinese hamster)
Lineage: Eukaryota; Metazoa; Chordata; Mammalia; Rodentia; Cricetidae
Source: RNAcentral